This 2125-nucleotide long non-coding RNA is filed under the name Nicotiana benthamiana. RNAcentral's name for it is "long non-coding RNA (NBEN_LNC026199)". Lineage: Eukaryota; Viridiplantae; Streptophyta; Magnoliopsida; Solanales; Solanaceae. The record is from RNAcentral.
UUUAAGCAUGUUCUAUAUGGAUCUAAGCAAACAUAUUAUUAACCAAAAGUAGUUCAAACCACUGAAUAAUUAUCCUAAAACAUGUUGUGUAUUUGUUACAUACUUGUAUGCAAAUUAAACUGAAAUACUAGAAUCAUUACUACUACAUCAUUAGUUUUUUAAACUAGCAUAUGAGAGAAGGAAUUUACCAUCUAUAUUGUUACAGACUUAUAUUCAUUUAGACAACAAUAGUCCUUUACAUGUUUCUAAUGAAGACUACAUAUACCAGUUAAUAUACUAAACUACGACAAAACAAAUUCGAAAACUUUAAGACUUCAUUUCAUUUAUGCUUCAAGUUUCAGCUACAAAUGUACCAGUAUAGCAAUGUGCACCUGGUAUUUGGAAACAAAGAAGAAUAGGAGAGUUAGUGAUGGCAGUAACAGUAUCACAACAAUAGACUCAACAAUAACAGUUUUAGCAAUGCAAUAGAACCAACAGUAAUAGAAGGAAUAAUAGCUUAGAAUCCAGCAAAAACUCAAAACCAGUUAAAAAAACCAACACUGCCAAACAGAUUGUACUCCACACUGAUCAACAACCACUCAAAUGUUUUGAAUACCCAAAUAUAGAACAGAAAACUAGAGAUUCUGACUAUUUAUGCUCUCAAAACUGACGUAACAGUAUCUCUCAGUAAAACCUCUAGUUCAAAGUAUUAUCUGGUUUGAAAGAGCUUAUAGAAACUGAAAUUAAGUUGUAGAUUGAAAAAUGAACUCAAGAGGAAACAAUGGAACAUUUCUUUUCUCCCUAAGCUUUUUUUCCUCCCCAAAACUGAUUGGAAUAUUCUCUUAUAUAACCAAACUGAAAACUUUUUACAACCUGUUAAAAACCUUUUUAAAAACUGAUUAUUCCUUUUGUUUUUCCACUUAAAUUUUUCUAGGCAUGGAACUCUUAUUUUAAAAUUUCUGGAAAUUAGAAUGUAUUGACUACCCUGUUCUACAGCAGGUUCCACUAUCAUUUUCAUGUGCAUUUUCAUCUUUUAAUAUUAAAAUCAUCCUAAUACUGACUUUUACUUUAAAAGAUGUCAGCCAAGGUGUAUUGGCACUAUGAUUAUCUCCAAUGGCUCACACAUGCUCAAAUUGCAAUCCACUUAACUAAACUCUAAAAUUUCUAUUAGAGUUACAGCCAUAACCAAUUCAGAUUUUAAUUCAAACCAGGAUUCGGACACAAAUUAAUAGAAUCAAUAACACUACUGUCAACAUAAUCUAACAAUCAAGCCUAUACAACUAAUCGACGACAUUUAUCUAAUCAAUAAUAGCACACAUAAUCGAUAUACAAUAACCAACACAAAAAAAUGUGAUUCAUAAAAAUUUGGACAAAAUAGGAGAUUAUGAAACUAAUGACUCGACGAUAUCAAUCGAGUAGAAUUUGGGUUACAUAACAGACACAACUAUCAAACGAACAGAAGGAAUUUGACCGAAUAAAAGGUCUUUAAUUCAGAGAAGAAGAGAACAGUUGAUAAAAAAUAAAAAAAAUCAAUAAUAAUAAAAAAUAAACUAAUAACGGAUAUUAACCAGUAAGAAUAAAAGAUAAGAAGAAGGAAUACCUCAGAAGAAAAAUCAGAAAUCAACGGACUUGGGCCAAUUUCGGACUUUGAACUUUUGAGGUCAAACGGAUUUUACUUGAACUGUUCUCAAUUGAGAACACCUCAAUUAAAUUCAAUUAGACCUCAAACCCUAAUUAAUUUGAUGGAUUCCCUAAUCUGGUUUUCUAGGUUUUUUGAGGGCUCGAUUAGGGAUUUAAACUUUCUGGUUAGAUUCGAAUGGGAUUAAUGGUGGUUAAAGCAUGAGGGAGGACAGAUGGGUUGUUGGUGUGACUUUGGGGCCGAUUGAGAUGGGUUCGAGUUUUUCAUGAAUCUUCAAAUGAAGAUUCGAGAAACGCCAGGUUGAUUCGAGGUAAUAUGAGGGUGGAUUCGUGGAGAGAGGAGUUAGGUAGUUCAGGGGUGUUGUUUGGGUGGCCGGCACCGUCGUUGUCGCCAGGUUUCUAGUGAAGGUGUGGGGGGAGGCUCUAGGGUAUCACUUGUGUGUUUGGGAGCGUCUCUGAGAGAGACGGAGUUGAGAGGGUAGUGGAUUGGGGGUCGGGGUAAUGACUU